AUGAUCUUGAUCCUGGUGAUCCUCAUUCCGGUGCUGGUGAGUUCCGUGGGCAUCGAUGGACACUACGAGAUGCUGGGCACCUGCCGCAUGGUCUGUGAUCCCUACCUGGGCAAGACCAGCACCACGACCAGCGCCAGCGGCAUCCGGAGCGACGGCGCCGAAAGCUUCAGUAGCACCAGUAGCGACCACAGCGGACUGCCCCCGCCAUCCACCCUCGUCCAGGGGCCCCAGGGCAAGCCAGGGCGGCCGGGCAAGCCGGGCCCUCCGGGGUCCCCGGGAGAGCCGGGGCCCCCGGGCCCCCGGGGUCCCCCGGGGGAGAGGGGAGAUCCUGGGAAAACCGGUCCUCCUGGCCUGCCCGGGCCGGGGCUGAGCACGGGGGCCAUCAGUGCGGCCACCUAUACCAUGGUGCCCCGCGUGGCCUUUUACGCCGGCCUCAAGAACCCGCACGAGGGCUACGAGAUACUCAAGUUCGACGAUGUCGUAACCAACUUGGGAAACAACUACGAUGCCGCUACGGGCAAGUUCACCUGCAACAUCCCAGGCACCUAUUUCUUCACCUACCACGUCCUGAUGCGCGGCGGCGACGGGACCAGCAUGUGGGCAGAUCUAUGCAAGAACGGGCAGGUGCGGGCCAGUGCCAUUGCACAGGAUGCUGAUCAAAACUAUGACUAUGCUAGCAACAGUGUUAUCCUACACCUGGAUGCCGGGGAUGAAGUUUUCAUCAAGCUUGAUGGAGGCAAAGCCCAUGGAGGCAACAACAACAAAUACAGUACCUUUUCAGGUUUCAUAAUCUACUCAGACUGAGGCUGGAAAGAAGCCUACUGACUUCCAGCCCCCUGGAUUUCUCCAUGUGGCAAAUUUGGCUGCUGAAUCCAUUAAUACUAAUGUCUUUGCAUACAGCCAGUCUCCCUCCAUGGGUUAUAUGAAAGCAGAGUUGGAUCACUUUGUUUUUUCCUCUAGUGGGCACUGGGAUGGCCAAAUGAUGAUUCAAUCACCAUCCCCAUUUAUUUUACCUUCCAUUGUAUCAUGAACCACUAAGCCUUUCAACAGUAUUAAUACGGAGGAUGAAGAGAAAGAGAGCUAAGGAGCCAGGAAUGGAUGGGUCUAGGGAGAACAGGAUGCUUCUGGGUCCUCAUCAAGUCUCUGGCCAUUAAGAUUGGAAAGAUCAGAAGAAUGACA
Non-coding RNA from Thamnophis sirtalis, 1179 nucleotides. The record is from RefSeq and is a predicted model, not a curated record. NCBI's taxonomy places the organism in Eukaryota, Metazoa, Chordata, Lepidosauria, Squamata, Natricidae.